UGGGGAGUAUUGCACAAUGGGCGAAAGCCUGAUGCAGCAACGCCGCGUGAGUGAUGAAGGUCUUCGGAUUGUAAAGCUCUGUCUUUUGGGACGAUAAUGACGGUACCAAAGGAGGAAGCCACGGCUAACUACGUGCCAGCAGCCGCGGUAAUACGUAGGUGGCGAGCGUUGUCCGGAUUUACUGGGCGUAAAGGGUGCGUAGGCGGAUGUUUAAGUGGGAUGCGAAAUACCCGGGCUUAACUUGGGUGCUGCAUUUCAAACUGGAUAUCUAGAGUGCAGGAGAGGAGAAUGGAAUUCCUAGUGUAGCGGUGAAAUGCGUAGAGAUUAGGAAGAACACCAGUGGCGAAGGCGAUUCUCUGGACUGUAACUGACGCUGAGGCACGAAAGCGUGGGUAGCAAACAGGAUUAGAUACCCUGGUAGUCCACGCCGUAAACGAUGAGUACUAGGUGUAGGAGGUAUCGACCCCUUCUGUGCCGCAGUAAACACAUUAAGUACUCCGCCUGGGAAGUACGAUCGCAAGAUU
This 524-nucleotide ribosomal RNA is filed under the name uncultured bacterium. RNAcentral's name for it is "partial 16S ribosomal RNA". It matches the Rfam family "Bacterial small subunit ribosomal RNA", at positions 355 to 895 of the family's 1533-position model. The record is from RNAcentral.